UCCUAGACUGAAUCCUGUACCAUUUGUGCAAAGAUUCAAAUAUCACAGCCUUAGCAGCAGUCUCUGCUCUUCAAUCAUCUUUGUGGUAUGAGCAGCUUUUGCAGCCUAAGUCCAGAGGUGAGGAAAGGACUUGUUGGAAUAAAUCAGUUUUAGGGCACACAAUUAUAACAGAAAGACUUGGAGAGAUUAUCUCAAGAUAACCAAAGAAGAGUUAAAGGAGAAAGGAGGCAGGUGUUCAAGAGCAUUAAUGGGGAAGCACAGCAGGCAGGUGUUCAAGAGCAUUAAUGGGGAAGCACAGCAAAACUUUCUUGAGAUGAAUUAACUGAGCCCGUGAACUGCUGUUUCUCUGCUUCCUUGAAUGUACCAGCAUCUUCUCAGACACUCAGGCCUGCAGCUCUGAAGGUGUGACUCUUUGUUGCCUCUCCCAACCAAUUAAUUGCCAAGUCCUGCUGAUUGGAAUGCAAUAUUUCUCACAUCCUUUCUUCAGUGACCAAAUCUAUAUC
Long non-coding RNA from Gorilla gorilla gorilla (western lowland gorilla), 503 nucleotides. RefSeq lists it as uncharacterized. The transcript is spliced from 3 exons. The record is from RefSeq and is a predicted model, not a curated record. NCBI's taxonomy places the organism in Eukaryota, Metazoa, Chordata, Mammalia, Primates, Hominidae.